AGUACAGGUUUCAGAAAAGUUUCUUUUUGGGCGCAACGUAACUCGAAAUACUGCAAGGGCCUCACAGAAGGGAUCCUGUCACGGCGCUAUGCAGAAGUGACACGCCCGAAACCUCCACCUCUGUAAAGGAUCCAUGACGUGGAUUAUGGGGUUCAUGUUCGAAAGAUAAAGGUCACGAUAAAAGUACACCGUCUAUCCCAAGUACACAGAUCGCUCAUCAGCAUCUCCAGCACCCGUCCUAUCACAAACAAUGCUGUCGAGUCAACCGAUCACAAGAUGUGCUAAAAUCCUCUCAUCUGCAGUUCUUUUUCAUUCCUCUUUCUUCAUUACUAAAUGAUGAAGAUCCAUAUACCUUUGCAUCGACAUUUACAAAUGAACAAACAAUCAAAGCUUCGCCUUUUUAUUGCUCUUCUUCAUCCACCCAUCUACCAACUCUCCGACCUCCUUUGCGAUCCCCAAACUCGCCUGAUACCCCGCCGGCCCAAUCCCAUAAGCAUGCACUACCCCAACCUUCCUCCCACCUCCUACCUUCCCUCCCUUUGUAGCCAAACCCGCAUUCACUUUUUCCCCUAUCACUCUCUCCUCCACCUCACACCUCAAUCCCGCCUCACGUACGGGCCUCAACCCCACAUUGUGCGAAAUCACCUCGAUAUCCUUCCAUGUGCCCUUUCCGCCCUUCCCAUCCAAGCGCGGGCAGAGGGUAUGGCACUGUUUAAGGAUCUCCUCUGCGACUUCAGGGUUGACGUUGGUAGACCAGUCGUUAGGGAAGUAACAUCCGCCGAGAAUGACGUACCCGUCCGGCCCUGGACGGGGGAUGAUAUAUGCCUUUUGGCCCGGUUGAGCGAGAGGGUCUACAAGGCCAUAACAUUCCUUCACCGGCGCUCGCACGAGAACUGUCUGUCCUUUCGCUGGAUAAACGGUGGGGUCUUCGACUCCAAGCAGGGAACGGGCCCCAAGACCGGUAGCAUUAAUCACCAAGUCUACAGAGCCAAGUUGGGGAAGAGAGUAUGCUUCGUCGAGUGAGGAGAGUCGGGCGCGGAGGAUGGGGACGCGCGCCGAGCGGAGGGUAGAAGCAAGAUGGAGGAGGUAGAGCGGAGUGUUGAGCGUGUAGGCUUCAUAAGUUACACCGUAUUUGAAUGGUGCAUGGACUUCCUCGGGUUUGAGCAUCCUGUACUGUGUUUAUUAGGUUAGCUCUUUCCUUUCCUAUAUACCGGCGAAAAAAAACACCGCUGAUAUGAUAAUACAACUACAGACUCACCCCAAACACCACAUCCUUGUACCAAGGCUCUUUCCACGCACCUUCGCCUUUCCAUAAAUAAUACUUCGUUGAUUGCAAAAGAGUGCCAGUUCGCUCCCUUCACAUGUAUCCCACGAUCAGCUCCUUCUUGGCUUGUAAAGACAGCUACGAUCACUGUUCCGAACUAAUUGUGUAGUACGAGGUCGAUACUGUGGAUAUGGGGGAAUGAAACGAAACUCACAGCCCAAGGAGAAGCAAAGCCAGUACUAUCCAGAUCUUCAGGCAAAUCGUUGCCUACCACAGCGACUUUAAGACCUUUCAAAAGGGUCAGGUCCGAGGGGAUCAUUUCAUAAUAUGAGGAUGAGGAAGGAAAGACAGGCUCACCUCCUGAACCGAGGAUGACAGCGUCGUAUUUUACCAUAAUUGUUAUAGUGUCAUAAAUUGCUGAACUCGCCCAGGGGGAGGGAAGGUAGUUUCAGUAUGGAUACCGAUAAAUAUAGAGGUGAUGAAUGUGCGCUUCCUUUUCUCAACAG
RNAcentral lists this small RNA (1770 nucleotides) under Cryptococcus neoformans H99. RNAcentral's name for it is "Cryptococcus neoformans var. grubii H99 hypothetical RNA". The record is from RNAcentral. Lineage: Eukaryota; Fungi; Basidiomycota; Tremellomycetes; Tremellales; Cryptococcaceae.